RNAcentral lists this ribosomal RNA (468 nucleotides) under uncultured bacterium. RNAcentral describes it as "partial 16S ribosomal RNA". It matches the Rfam family "Bacterial small subunit ribosomal RNA", at positions 28 to 507 of the family's 1533-position model. The record is from RNAcentral.
GACGAACGCUGGCGGCGUGCUUAACACAUGCAAGUCGAACGGAAAGACCCUGCUUUUGUGGGGUGCUCGAGUGGCGAACGGGUGAGUAACACGUGAGUAACCUGCCAUUGACUUUGGGAUAACUUCAGGAAACUGGGGCUAAUACCGGAUAGGAGCUCCUGCUGCAUGGUGGGGGUUGGAAAGUUUCGGUGGUUGGGGAUGGACUCGCGGCUUAUCAGCUUGUUGGUGGGGUAGUGGCUUACCAAGGCUUUGACGGGUAGCCGGCCUGAGAGGGUGACCGGCCACAUGGGGACUGGGAUACGGCCCAGACUCCUACGGGAGGCAGCAGUGGGAAAUAUUGCACAAUGGGCGGAAGCCGGAUGCAGCAACGCCGCGUGCGGGAUGACGGCCUUCGGGUUGUAAACCGCUUUCGCCUGUGACGAAGCGUGAGUGACGGUAAUGGGUAAAGAAGCACCGGCUAACUACGUG